Molecule: long non-coding RNA, 1785 nt
Filed under: Homo sapiens (human)
Lineage: Eukaryota; Metazoa; Chordata; Mammalia; Primates; Hominidae
Description: HSALNT0100888
Source: RNAcentral
UGAACUCCUGGAUGCAAGCAAUCCUCCCACCUCGGCCUCCCAAAAUGCUGGGAUUACAGGCAUGAGCCACUGCACUGGACCAUGAAAGUUUGAAAGAAGUCGUCUUAUAGAUGGUUAUGAAGAGUUGGAAGUUUCUGAGGAAAGAGAGCCUUGUUGCUGAAGUCUGCUCAUAUCCGUGAAGGCAAAUAGCUCUUCCAUAGUGUAAAUACCCACUGGUGGGUCGUGGUCUUCAUUAUAUACUGGAAACAGCAUUUGGUAAGAGAAUUAUCCAGUGUUCCAGAUGCCUUGUGCUGAGACUGCUGUUGGAUUCAGUAAAGAAUGGUUCUGUCUGAGGUAGGGAUCAGUUAAGGUAGGUAGAAUUUGCUGAUUCUCACUAUCACAAUAUUCUUGGGGAUAAGGUGUUGUGCCAAACUCCUAUUAAUCUCAAUAGGGAAGGUACCAGGUUCAAGAGGCCAAAGAAGAGACCAAGAGCCAGCAAAUGAGACACAGGGUUUUAUUAGGGAAUUACAUACAGGGGAGAGAGUCCAGCGGUGGCAGGAUGGACAACAUAACCACAUAGCCCAGUGGCAGUGGGUUGGGCAGGAAAACUGCAGCCACCUGCAAACAGCAUGCAGUUUCCAUAGCAUUUCCACUUAACACCCUCCCCGUGACAACCUCCACCUGGCAACCUUCAUUUAACCCAAAACUCAGGGCCUUGAUGUACAGCCUGUGUUCCAUGGAACAUGCAAGGGGCUCAGAUGUUUAUCAUAGAUAAGGAACGAACUUCCAGGUUAGCUACUUGGGUUCCCCAGCUUGGAACACACAUUUAGAUGCAUCUGCCAUCCAGGGGCAUUCUCAGAGUAUGCUUAAAGAAUUGCUACCAGGUGUGUUUACCCUACGUAAGACUAUCCCAGGUUUAGGAUAGCAGCCUCUACGACUUAAGAAGGCCACCUUUGUGUUCAUAAAAUCAUCUGCAUAUUGUCAUAAUAUUUGCUUAACUAACUAUAUAAUCCACCCUCAGGACAUUUUCAUAUUAAAUGCUCAUUAUUUCUUAAACUUGCCCUUUUCUUCUCACCUGUCAAUAGACAUUGAUUCUCAUGAGGCAAUUCUUUCAACAAGCACUUAUUGAACACCGACAGUGCUAGAGUUUUCAGAACGCUGAUGAUCAGGCCCUUCCCUGAGAGAUGAUUUUAGACUAAGGAUGCAUGGUUUGGGAAGCCUAUGAGCAAUGGUUCUCAUAUCUGCUAUACAUUAGCAUCACCUGGAAAGCUUUUGCAAAGGCCAGGGCUCAGGAUGCACCCAGACCAGGUGAUUGACUGUUUCUGAGGAUGGGACUUAGGCAUGUAGCUUUCAAAGCUCCCCAAGUGAUUUUAAUGUGCAGCCAGGGUUGAGAACCAGUGCCAGAAAACAAUGAUUCUCAUCAAAUUGGCUGCAUAUGAGAAUCAGCCAGGGAGAUUUUUUUAAUAAAUAAAACUACCUGGGCCCCACCCCAGAACAAAUGAGUCAGAAUCUUUGGAAGAGGGAUCUGGGCAACUGUAUGUUUUCCAAAGCUCCUUCAUAUAAUCUGAUACAUGGCAAGUACUGAGAAUCAUUGCUACAGGCAAUCUAGUGAAUGAGAACAUCUAGAGUUGAACCCAUUUCUGGCUCUUUGGCUUUGCAAGCCACGCAUAACUGUAGGAUGAAGAGUCACCUCUGAGCGGCCAUGUUGGGUAAUGAACAGCAGGGCUGAGAACCUGAAGGCAUGGGUCAAGUCUUGGCUUUGCCAUAUAACAUUUGCUCUGCAAUGUCACACAAAUCACGUAACUU